Long non-coding RNA from Mastomys coucha (southern multimammate mouse), 380 nucleotides. RefSeq lists it as uncharacterized. Lineage: Eukaryota; Metazoa; Chordata; Mammalia; Rodentia; Muridae. The transcript has 3 exons. The record is from RefSeq and is a predicted model, not a curated record.
CGUUAGUGUCAGCCUUAACAAUAACAACAGGGACCACUGACAUCUGGCUGAGAUGAGGCCCACCUGAAUCACUUCUGAAAAUGGCCGCAUUGGCAAGCUUGACUGUGGACAAAGGAAUAAACCAAAGACUCCAUGGAAGACAUUUUGUUCAUCAAACGCACUCUGGAAGGCAGAUAUUACAAGGUGCUCUGCAAUGGGAGGAAGGCUGAGCCCACUUCCAGGUUUGAGUGACCAGAGGGGCCCAGUCCCGAGUUCCCUCUGUUCACCUUGCUGUGCCAGACACAGGAAAGCCGGGAGAACACCACUUGAGAAGAGUACAGAGUGCUGAGGAUGCUGGGUAAUACAACUGGAAUCUUCCAACGCAUCUUCAGGAAAUCAAU